GAGAACCUGCUCUGCAUUCACCCCAAAAGGUAUUCUUUAAAUUAAAGAAGAGGCAGACUUCUUAGCAGAGCUUGGUUAUUCAUCAAUAUUAUUAGAUUCUCCCUUCCCUCUCCUGAUGCUAGGAAUAGAAACCUCUGAAAUUACUGUGGAGGAUGAGCUCUGAAAACAAAGCACCGGGGGCAGACACCUGGCUGCUGUACAGCUGUUUGCAGAUGCUGCAUUCCAAAAAGGUCAGGGGAGUUCAGGCAGCCACAGAAACCUCUGCACUGGCCAGUGCCUGUGCCUGGGCUCUGUGAGCUCU
Molecule: long non-coding RNA, 301 nt
Filed under: Ficedula albicollis (Collared flycatcher)
Lineage: Eukaryota; Metazoa; Chordata; Aves; Passeriformes; Muscicapidae
Description: lncRNA (ENSFALG00000025240.1)
Source: RNAcentral